UGCCGUCCGAUGGAUGGGAACAUCGGAACGUGGCUUGCUUCAAGAGUGCGCCACUGCUUUGACCGGUCAAAGAAUCAACAAAUUUCUCGCCGUCGAGGUGGCAAACAUUAGAAGCCAACCGGAGUCCUGUAACCGCCGGCGAUCCAAGUACCAAAUGUAGAGAUUACCGAUGGAAGGAUCGUCGUCCCAUCCUCGGAUCGUCAAGGAUGGCAGACGGGAGGAGGUGCGGUGACCGGCAAAGGUCCAGAGAGGUACGUCUCAUUGGAUUGCGCGAACUCAUUGGUUCGUUAAUUUCCUGGAAGUCUGUUUAAUUAGAAUCAGUAAUGAUUCUCGUUAAACGUGUGGGAGAGAUAGCUAGGAGUAAAGACUUUCCUGGUAGGUUCGUAUUUGUUUGGUAAUGAGCUUUAUAUAUAUAUAUCUGCCGAUUCGAGGCUAUUUCUGUGUUUUUAUAUGGUAGUGGGAUGCUUUGCAGAUGUUCUUAUAAUUACCAUGUUGUUUCUUUUUCAGUUUGUUUCACGUUUCUGAUGGAUUUCUGGGCAGCAAUGCCUGGAUGCGUAGUAGGAUGUGCUCCGGGGGAUAGCUAGCUAGAAAGAUUACAACAGGGAACAGAAAGAAUCACGGAGGUUGCGGUGCCUGCGUUGCACCACAAAGGGCUGCGUGUCCCCGGAGAGGCACAAAUCAUCCAUCUUGAUGCAUCUUGUUUGGCAUCCAAUGCAUUUCUCUCUAUUUUUGAGAGUUGCGACAAUAGUCUGUCUUCGAUAUGAAUAACGUGGCAGCUAUUCAGGA
This 786-nucleotide long non-coding RNA is filed under the name Elaeis guineensis (African oil palm). RNAcentral describes it as "long non-coding RNA (EGUI_LNC011116)". The record is from RNAcentral. Lineage: Eukaryota; Viridiplantae; Streptophyta; Magnoliopsida; Arecales; Arecaceae.